GUGGUGUAAAGGAUGUUCCGCCUAUUAAUUUACUUUAUUUAUGUUGGUGUAUAUCUGGUUUAAUAUUAUUGUUUAAUAAUUUAAUUUGUGUAUUGUUAAAUUAAGCCAAGUCUAUGUGCUGCUUAUUAAAGUAUUCAUGCGUUACAUUUAUAAGGUUACAUUUGUAAAAAUGUAAUAUUCAGGACUUAAAAGUAAUAUUAAAUUAAUUUGUUAGUGUGAAAAAAGUUUAGCUCAUGUACACA
RNAcentral lists this ribosomal RNA (242 nucleotides) under Hydatigera taeniaeformis. Its description in RNAcentral is "partial 12S ribosomal RNA". RNAcentral also lists the same sequence under 1 other name. Lineage: Eukaryota; Metazoa; Platyhelminthes; Cestoda; Cyclophyllidea; Taeniidae. The record is from RNAcentral.